CACCUGCGCCACAAGUGGCAAUCAUGUAUUUGGUCUAAAGCGUUCGUAGCCGGUCUAAUCAGUCUUCUGUGAAAUUGUUGGGCUCAACUCAACGGCGUGCAGAAGAUACUAUCAGACUAGGAACUGGGGGGAGGUAGGAGUAUUCUUAGGGGAGCGGUAAAAUGUGAUAAUCCUAGGAAGACUACCAGUGGCGAAGGCGCCUACCUAAAACAGCUUCGACGGUGAGGAACGAAGGCUAGGGGAGC
Molecule: ribosomal RNA, 245 nt
Filed under: uncultured archaeon
Lineage: Archaea
Description: partial 16S ribosomal RNA
Rfam family: Archaeal small subunit ribosomal RNA
Source: RNAcentral